Molecule: transfer RNA, 58 nt
Filed under: Mus musculus (house mouse)
Lineage: Eukaryota; Metazoa; Chordata; Mammalia; Rodentia; Muridae
Source: Rfam by way of RNAcentral
UGGCUCAGCGGUUAAGAGCACUGGCUGCUCUUCCAGAGGUCCCGAGUUCAAUUCUCGG